AGAGUUUGAUCAUGGCUCAGAUUGAACGCUGGCGGUAUGCUAAACACAUGCAAGUCGAACGGUAGCAGGCCUUCGGGCGCUGACGAGUGGCGGACGGGUGCGUAACGCGUAGGAAUCUGCCUGUUAGUGGGGGACAACGUGGGGAAACUCACGCUAAUACCGCAUACGCCCUACGGGGGAAAGCGGGGGCUCUUCGGACCUCGCGCUAACAGAUGAGCCUGCGUUGGAUUAGCUAGUUGGUAGGGUAAAGGCUUACCAAGGCGACGAUCCAUAGCUGGUCUGAGAGGACGAUCAGCCACACUGGGACUGAGACACGGCCCAGACUCCUACCGGAGGCAGCAGUGGGGAAUAUUGGACAAUGGGCGCAAGCCUGAUCCAGCAAUACCGCGUGUGUGAAGAAGGCCUGAGGGUUGUAAAGCACUUUCAAUAGGGAGGAACACCGGCCGGCGAAUACCCGGUCGCUUGACAUUACCUAUAGAAGAAGCACCGGCUAACUCCGUUCCAGCAGCCGCGGUAAUACGGAGGGUGCGAGCGUUAAUCGGAAUUACUGGGCGUAAAGCGUGCGUAGGCGGUUUGUUAAGUCAGAUGUGAAAGCCCCGGGCUUAACCUGGGAACGGCAUUUGAAACUGAUAGACUAGAGUUGGGUAGAGGGGAGUGGAAUUUCAGGUGUAGCGGUGUAAUGCGUAGAUAUCUGAAGGAACACCAGUGGCGAAGGCGGCUCCCUGGACCCAAACUGACGCUGAGGCACGAAAGCGUGGGUAGCAAACAGGAUUAGAUACCCUGGUAGUCCACGCCGUAAACGAUGCCAACUAGCCGUUGGCCCUUUCUCAAGGGCAAGUGGCGCAGCUAACGCAUUAAGUUGACCGCCUGGGGAGUACGGCCGCAAGGUUAAAACUCAGAUGAAUUGACGGGGGCCCGCACAAGCGGUGGAGCAUGUGGUUUAAUUCGAUGCAACGCGAAGAACCUUACCUACCCUUGACAUCCAGAGAAUCUGUUAGAGAUAGUAGAGUGCCUUCGGGAGCUCUGAGACAGGUGCUGCAUGGCUGUCGUCAGCUCGUGUUGUGAAAUGUUGGGUUAAGUCCCGUAACGAGCGCAACCCUUGUCCUUAGUUGCCAGCGGGUCAUGCCGGGAACUCUAGGGAGACUGCCGGUGAUAAGCCGGAGGAAGGUGGGGACGACGUCAAGUCAUCAUGGCCCUUAUGGGUAGGGCUACACACGUGCUACAAUGGCCGGUACAGAGGGCUGCGAACUUGCAAAAGUAAGCCAAUCCCAGAAAGCCGGUCUUAGUCCGGAUUGGAGUCUGCAACUCGACUCCAUGAAGUCGGAAUCGCUAGUAAUCGCAAAUCAGAAUGUCGCGGUGAAUACGUUCCCGGGCCUUGUACACACCGCCCGUCACACCAUGGGAGUGGGUUGCAAAAGAAGUGGGUAGUCUAACCUUUUAGGAGGGCGCUCACCACUUUGUGAUUCAUGACUGGGGUGAAGUCGUAACAAGGUA
This 1494-nucleotide ribosomal RNA is filed under the name metagenome. RNAcentral describes it as "bacterial SSU rRNA". It matches the Rfam family "Bacterial small subunit ribosomal RNA". The record is from RNAcentral.